CGCUGUGCGCGGAGAGGCGGCGGGCGCCGCGUCUCCUCCGCGCCGCUGGCGGAGCCAUGAAUCUGGGUGAUGGACUGAAACUUGAAACUGAAGUGCUGGAUGGAAAGCCUAGGCUAAUUUUAGCUGCUUCUGAUAAAUCAAAGCCUGCAAUUAAGAUGGGUAAUAAAGCCAGAGCACCGAAACAGGCAUUGAGAAUAAGGCAUACUGAACAUGUUCUGAGGUUGACACAAAAUGCUUGUAUGAAGCAGGAAAACUUAACAAAACCAAGGAGUGAAUCAAGCUUAUCAGUGAUGAAAGGUGAAAAACUGCAAGUUACUAAAUACUCCUCACAUGAAACCGCAACUAAAGAUCACUCCCUGAUUUUCCAGAGAGAGAGCACAAACAGAUACCCUGAUUCAGAGAAUACUAACAUUGAUAAAAAAAGUAAACAGAAACCUCAAACCCCAUGUGUAUCAGCUGAAGACCUAAGAAGUUUGGUGUGUUUAACACAAGCACAGCUUCAACAGAUUUUGAUGACUAUAAGAGAAGGAAACAGAAGCCUCUCCGAGACUCAUAAUGAAAAACAAGAGAAAAUGGCUACUAAUGAGGCACCAGAGGAAAACAUUAUAGCAUUGCUUCAAAAAACGUGUGAAAUGUCAUCUGUUGGCGGUGAAGCUAACUCUGAUUCAAGCAGGAAACAAGAAGCAUAUCCACAGCCAGAACAGAAAGUUACAAAGGAUUUGUGGAAACCUGGUGACAUGUUUAGUACCCUGGGUGAAAGAGAAGGGGAGAAGGCCUUAUUAGAAUUACGAAAGACCCAAUGGAAGAAGGAAUUAGAUGAACAGGUAGCACUGAAGAAGAAACUGAAAGAAACUUUGGAGGGAGAGGUGGGUUAUUUCUGGGCAAAACCUGGCAAUCAUAAAACCCAUAAAGAGAAAGUGGAAACAGCUGACCCAGAUAAGACAAUGUUUCCAGCUGACUCUAUUACCACUGAGGAAAACUGUGUCUGUACAACUCCUUCAACCACAGCAGCUAAUAAAGUUCCACUGAAUGGUUCAAGUGCUCCAGCUGGGCAGUCUUCUGAUUUUUGUUCUGAUUUAGCAGCUGACAGUUGUGCAGCAUCUGUUUUCAGGGAAGCUGUGCCACAGGAACAACCUUUUAGUGCUUUGAAGCAUGAGCAACAGAAUAAGUGGCUUGAGGAGUUGGACAAACAGAAUGAAGAAGCUAAGAUACAAAAAAUAGAAGAAAAACUUAAUUUAUCAGAGGCUGAAGAGCAGGACAGAUGGGCAAUGCAUUUUGAUUCUUUAAAGAACCACCUUAAUUCUAACGCACAACACUCCCUAAAUGGAAUGUACAAAAAGCAGCCUGAAAGUCUUUGCCUGUCACCUGACCCUAAGGAGCUGACUGCUUUUAUUCACCCUUUUUCACCUGCAGCUUUAGGCAACUUCAUGCCCUUAAAGGUGGAAAAUGCAGGAAAAUCUGCUAAAAACAGUGCUUUGGAACACAGUCAGAAAGUCAGUUUCCUCCGUUCAAUGACUGCUCUCCUGGACCCUGCACAGAUUGAAGAGAGAGACAGGAGGCGGCAGAAACAGUUAGAACAUCAGAAAGCAAUAAUGGCUCAGGUAGAAGAAAAACGGAAGAAGAAACAACUAGAGGAAGAGCAGAGAAAAUGGGAAGAACAAGAGGAAGAACAGCGCCUAGCACGAGAAAAAGAACAAAUGCAGAAACAGUUUGAAGAAGAUAUGCUGAAACAAAAACAAAAGGAGGAAUUCGCGACUCUUAAAACAAAUGAGAUCUAUCAGACAAUGCAGAAAGCUCAAGAAUUAGCACAGAGAUUAAAACAAGAACAGCGCAUUCGAGACUUGGCUCAAAAGGGACAUGACAUUUCAAAACUUCAGAAGAAUCUUGGUGGUGGUGAUACAGAAUUUGAAAACUGUAAUACUGGCGUUUCACAUCAAAGUAAUCAUUUUUCAGAUGACAUUAAGAGUCACACUGAUCAGAAGACUUCUUCUCGGAAAGACACUGCUGUGCAAACAGAGUACUUAAAUAUUUCAUCAUACACUGAGUCAGCUGAGGAAAGAACUGUGUGUUGCGGAUCACCUGAUAUUUCCAUAGAAUAUAAAGAAACCUCUUACAGCAAAAAAUACCACAAGGAAAUGCAGUAUAUAGAUAAAAAUAAAAUUUCAGGAAAAGAGGCUGCUGGGAUUUACAGUGAUCUAUAUGAACAAUAUGUAAGAAAAGAAAGACAAAUUAAACCUUCAGAAAAACACAGCAAAAGACCUGACUGGAACAUAAACAAGCCUGGGAAAAGAUACAUUCCAGCAUCGGAAAGAUACCCUAAACAGCUACAAAAACAAAGGGAAGAAAACAAAGUAAGGCGACAAAUGGAACUGCUUCAGUUGGUAGAAAGAAAUACCCCUGGGAAUCUCUGCCCCAAAAAGGGUGGUUAUUCAGACAGGUCUCCUUCACCUCACGAAGAAAUAAAUAUGAAGAAUAAGGGACAUAGAGUCAGAAAGGAAGAACAAUUACAUAAGAAUCAUUUGAAUGAAGAAAGAUCUGAAUCACCACCUGUUCCAGCAGUUAAGAACAGAUUACAUCAAGUACAACAAAAACAGAUACUUGCUUCUAAUUUCCUGGUGCAUAACCACAACAGCAGAAGAGAGAAAAAUAUCAAGACAGAUACACAGCAGAGGAGCUCCCCUCCUCCCAUUGCAGAAGCUGGACGACCUCCCUCUUCACAAUUUAUUCCGUAUGUUCGAACAAAUGAAGUAUAUUAUCUUGAUCCAGAUGCACCAGUGACUAGACCUUCAACACAUGACCCACAGUAUCGACAGUUUAAUGAUUCUUAUCAAAUGCCACGACCAAUUCUUAGCUCUGAUCACGUUAGAGAUUCUCUUCUAAAUCCUGAUGCAGUCAAAAUCAGAGAGAGACAACAAGCAAUUCUCAAAGGAUUGUCAGAAUUACGCCAGGGCCUCCUGCAGAAGCAGAAGGAGCUGGAGACAGCUUUGAUUCCUGCUAUAGCUCAAGAAGAGAACUUUAUUUCACCAUUUUGAGAGAUCUCUGCAGAAGUUUCAUAACCUGAGUUCAUUUUAGUUGUUCUGUGACAGAACGUGAUAAACGCCACAAACCCCCAACCCCAGACUCUUCCCAGCAGCAACUUUGCCAGAACCCGAAUCCGAAGACGCCUCACAGCAGCGGCCGGGGGCAGGGAGGUGCCCUCUUGCCUCUCACCCGUGCGCCCAGGCAUGCGGUUCAGCAAACCUCAAUAUCCUAGCCAGACCAAGAGCUACCCCCGAAAGGAAGAAGAUGGCAGACAAUAUGCAAGCUGUUACAGUAACGCUGUACUUGUUCCAUGCAACAAUUUGACAGAUUACUAAAAAACCCUACCACUAUAAACAAGGCGAGAGCCAGAAUAGAGCAUCUUUUUUCUACAAGAGGUAGAAGACAACUGCAAGGCUUUGGUCUCAGCAAAGAUGAAAAAACACCCUCAUUUACAGCACUCGGCAAGGGGAUGACAGAAGUUUUGCUGCCUGUUGCUGGAGCAGCAGCAUAUGACACUUAUUGUAAAACUAGUGAGGAAGACUGACCAUGGUUGCUUUCCAUCUUUGAAGUAUUCUUAGUUAUAAUUUUAUUACAGAAAGAGCAGACAUAAAGAAUGAGGAACACACAUCUCUGAGUUCAGAAAUUUUCCAUAUAUGCUCCUACCAAACAGAAAAGCUUAUUCACAGACAAGUUUGUGUUUAUCUAUGCAUACAUAUGUUAAAAAAAUAAGAGUGUUUUUUUCAUUUAGUCUCAUAAUAUUUAUGAAAAUAGUACAUUCAUUACCAGCACCU
Tyto alba (common barn owl) is the source of this 3812-nucleotide RNA transcript. It is a transcript of the gene named coiled-coil domain containing 66, with no coding region annotated. The record is from RefSeq and is a predicted model, not a curated record. The transcript is spliced from 21 exons. Lineage: Eukaryota; Metazoa; Chordata; Aves; Strigiformes; Tytonidae.